GGCCAGACUCCUACGGGAGGCAGCAGUGGGGAAUAUUGCACAAUGGGGGAAACCCUGAUGCAGCGACGCCGCGUGAGUGAGGAAGUAUUUCGGUAUGUAAAGCUCUAUCAGCAGGGAAGAAAAUGACGGUACCUGACUAAGAAGCCCCGGCUAACUACGUGCCAGCAGCCGCGGUAAUACGUAGGGGGCAAGCGUUAUCCGGAUUUACUGGGUGUAAAGGGAGCGUAGACGGUUAAUCAAGUCAGAAGUGAAAACCCAGGGCUCAACCUUGGGACUGCUUUUGAAACUGAGUAGCUAGAGUGCAGUAGAGGUAGGCGGAAUUCCCGGUGUAGCGGUGAAAUGCGUAGAGAUCGGGAGGAACACCAGUGGCGAAGGCGGCCUGCUGGGCGCUAACUGACGCUGAGGCACGAAAGCGUGGGUAGCAAACAGGAUUAGAUACCCGAGUACGG
RNAcentral lists this ribosomal RNA (449 nucleotides) under uncultured bacterium. RNAcentral's name for it is "partial 16S ribosomal RNA". It matches the Rfam family "Bacterial small subunit ribosomal RNA", at positions 329 to 793 of the family's 1533-position model. The record is from RNAcentral.